UACGGAGGAUCAAAGCGGUAUCCGGAACCAUUGGGUUUACAGGGUCCGUAGGCGGGAGAAUAAGUCCGUGGUGAAAGUCUGCAGCUCAACUGUAGAACUGCCAUUGAAACUGUUUUCCUUGAGUCAUUAUGAAGUGGUUAGAAUAUGUAGUGUAGCGGUGAAAUGCAUAGAUAUUGCAUAGAAUACCGAUUGCGAAGGCAGAUCACUAAUAAUGUACUGACGCUGAGGGACGAAAGCGUAGGUAGCGAACAGG
RNAcentral lists this unclassified non-coding RNA (253 nucleotides) under uncultured Flavobacteriaceae bacterium. RNAcentral describes it as "contains 16S-23S intergenic spacer region". It matches the Rfam family "Bacterial small subunit ribosomal RNA", at positions 524 to 776 of the family's 1533-position model. Lineage: Bacteria; Pseudomonadati; Bacteroidota; Flavobacteriia; Flavobacteriales; Flavobacteriaceae. The record is from RNAcentral.